CCUACGGGGGCUGCAGUGGGGAAUAUUGGACAAUGGGCGAAAGCCUGAUCCAGCCAUGCCGCGUGUGUGAAGAAGGCCUUCGGGUUGUAAAGCACUUUCAGUGGGGAAGAAAGCCUUGGGGCUAAUACCCUCGAGGAAGGACAUCACCCACAGAAGAAGCACCGGCUAACUCCGUGCCAGCAGCCGCGGUAAUACGGAGGGUGCGAGCGUUAAUCGGAAUUACUGGGCGUAAAGCGCGCGUAGGCGGUCUGAUAAGCCGGUUGUGAAAGCCCCGGGCUCAACCUGGGAACGGCAUCCGGAACUGUCAGGCUAGAGUGCAGGAGAGGAAGGUAGAAUUCCCGGUGUAGCGGUGAAAUGCGUAGAGAUCGGGAGGGAUACCAGUGGCGAAGGCGGCCUUCUGGACUGACACUGACGCUGAGGUGCGAAAGCGUGGGUAGCAAACAGGAUUAGAUACCCGUGUAGUC
Molecule: ribosomal RNA, 464 nt
Filed under: Vreelandella stevensii
Lineage: Bacteria; Pseudomonadati; Pseudomonadota; Gammaproteobacteria; Oceanospirillales; Halomonadaceae
Description: partial 16S ribosomal RNA
Rfam family: Bacterial small subunit ribosomal RNA
Source: RNAcentral